This is a long non-coding RNA of Phlebotomus argentipes, 337 nucleotides long. RefSeq lists it as uncharacterized. The transcript is spliced from 2 exons. Lineage: Eukaryota; Metazoa; Arthropoda; Insecta; Diptera; Psychodidae. The record is from RefSeq and is a predicted model, not a curated record.
GAUGAACUGCUAGAAAAGUAUAUUUUGUGACACUUCGAAAACCACAUUUUCGAGAAAUCGUGGGAGAAAAAUAGUUUUGCUUGAGGAAAAACUCGCGGAAAUCAUGUUCAGGCUGGACGCUCUGCCCCAAGUGGACCCCAUGGAGGAGCGGCGCAGAGUCAGGGCGGCAGUAAAUGCGAAUGUUGUGUCAUUCGUUGUUCUUUGCGCCACAAUUCGAUUAGCACCUUUCUUUAUGAAGCAGAUACAAAUGAGUAUCUAAUCUUCCAUCUAAUUAGCAUUUCUAGUCAUUCUGUUCUAGAGGAAGAAUAAUGAAAUUAAAUGAAUUAAAGUUAUAAAA